Molecule: non-coding RNA, 73 nt
Organism: Clonostachys solani
Lineage: Eukaryota; Fungi; Ascomycota; Sordariomycetes; Hypocreales; Bionectriaceae
Source: the annotation of a GenBank genome assembly
GCGGAGUUAGUGUAGUGGUUAUCACGCAUCGUUCACACCGAUGAGGUCGCGAGUUCGAUCCUCGCACUCCGUA